Molecule: ribosomal RNA, 600 nt
Filed under: uncultured bacterium
Lineage: Bacteria
Description: bacterial SSU rRNA
Rfam family: Bacterial small subunit ribosomal RNA
Source: RNAcentral
UAACCGACGCUCAUGCUCGAAGGCGCGGGUAUCAAACAGGAUUAGAUACCCUGGUAGUCCGCGCAGUAAACGAUGGAUGCCCGCGGUGUGGGGUUUUUCCUUGCGCCGCCAAGCGAAAGCGUUAAGCAUCCCACCUGGGGAGUACGCCGGCAACGGUGAAACUCAAAGGAAUUGACGGGGGCCCGCACAAGCGGAGGAACAUGUGGUUUAAUUCGAUGAUACGCGAGGAACCUUACCCGGGCUUGAAAGGCAUUCGACAGGACACAGAGACGUGUCCCUUCUUCGGACGGAUGCCUAGGUGCUGCAUGGUUGUCGUCAGCUCGUGCCGUGAGGUGUCGGCUCAAGUGCCAUAACGAGCGCAACCCCUACCGCCGGUUACCAUCGGGUGAUGCCGGGGACUCCGGCGGCACUGCCGCCGCAAGGCGCGAGGAAGGUGGGGAUGACGUCAAAUCAGCACGGCCCUUACGUCCGGGGCCACACACGUGUUACAAUGGGGGGCACAGAAAGCUGGAUGCCGGCGACGGUGUCCGAAUCCUCAAAUCCCCUCCCAGUUCGGACUGGAGUCUGCAACCCGACUCCACGAAGCUGGAUUCGCUAGUA